RNAcentral lists this long non-coding RNA (845 nucleotides) under Homo sapiens (human). RNAcentral describes it as "PREDICTED lncRNA (TCONS_00228339)". The record is from RNAcentral. Lineage: Eukaryota; Metazoa; Chordata; Mammalia; Primates; Hominidae.
CACCAAGCCUGUAGCUCUAGAAAUCACAAAAGGACUGGACCCUGUUCUUUAAAAGGCAAAGCAUGAGUCUAACACAAAACCACAGAGAGGAUCCAGCGGACUUCACGGGUGUAAUUUUGAAGAGUUCUAGGGAAUCAUUUUGUAAAAGACCCAGUUAACAGGUCAGUCAUAGGACCUGCGUUUGAGACGUGCCCUGUUGAUACCUGGAGGAAAGAAACGUCCUUAUCUCUGAAGACACAAGACUUCAGAGAUAGAUCUGAACAAACACCUCUUCGGCUGCCGAGUGUCUGACGGGACAAAUCCUUCCAACGGCCGCAGCAGGUGCUUCUUCUAGCCCUGUGUUGCAAUGACCUGCAGCUCCUGGGGAUAACUCAGGCACGCUGCUGACGCCAUCAGGAGGCUCAACACCCUCACCCGCUUACGCUACGACCAGCAAAAGCAAACCCCGCAGCUGCCUGCCAGCCGGGAAGAAGGACUGUGUUUCCAUGUUGUGAGUCUCCUCAUUGCAGCCAGAUGAUGAAUUUGCUGCUGGCUUUGUGCGAAACCGAGAAAUACCCAGCGUCCAGCUGAGGGCCCGGGUGGCAACAAAAUCAAGCUGAUGAAUUAAAGAAAUAUGGCCUGGUCAGGAUGCCUGGAGGCCUCAGAGUUCUGAUCUUUCUUCUGAGUUACUACAUCUUCUGAACUGCUCCCAGGAUGGUGUUUGUGAUAAGUUGGUUUGCCCAGUAAAACUGUCGCCCAGUGGAGGCAAGCCCUACCUCCUGUCCUUUCUCAUGCAGUGGUGUGGAGCGUGGUGGGGAAGAAAGGGCGUUCGACAGCAAGUCAAAAACUUUGGAUUUCAUUUGUGG